AGAAUCAACGCUGGCGGCGUGCCUAACACAUGCAAGUCGAACGAGAAAGUGGAGCAAUCCAUGAGUAAAGUGGCGACCGGGUGAGUAACACGUGACUAACCUACCUUCGAGUGGGGGAUAACCUCGGGAAACCGAGGCUAAUACCGCAUAACAUCGCAAGAUCAAAGCAGCAAUGCGCUGGAAGAGGGGGUCGCGGCUGAUUAGCUAGUUGGCGGGUAACGCCCACAAGGCGAAGAUCGGUAGCCGGCCUGAGAGGGCGCACGGCCACACUGGAACUGAAACACGGUCCAGACUCCUACGGGAGGCAGCAGUGGGGAAUUUGCGCAAUGGGGGGAAACCCUGACGCAGCAACGCCGCGUGGAGGAUGAAGCCCCUUGGGGCGUAAACUCCUUUCGACCAAGACGAUAAUGACGGUACUGGUGGAAGAAGCACCGGCUAACUCUGCGCCAGCAGCCGC
This 457-nucleotide ribosomal RNA is filed under the name uncultured bacterium. RNAcentral's name for it is "SSU rRNA". It matches the Rfam family "Bacterial small subunit ribosomal RNA", at positions 26 to 518 of the family's 1533-position model. The record is from RNAcentral.